CUCCUACUGGAGGCAGCAGUGAGGAAUAUUGGUCAAUGGACGAGAGUCUGAACCAGCCAAGUCGCGUGAGGGAAGACUGCCCUAUGGGUUGUAAACCUCUUUUAUAAGGGAAGAAUAAGUUCUACGUGUAGAAUGAUGCCUGUACCUUAUGAAUAAGCAUCGGCUAACUCCGUGCCAGCAGCCGCGGUAAUACGGAGGAUGCGAGCGUUAUCCGGAUUUAUUGGGUUUAAAGGGUGCGUAGGCGGUUUAUUAAGUUAGUGGUUAAAUAUUUGAGCUAAACUCAAUUGUGCCAUUAAUACUGGUAAACUGGAGUACAGACGAGGUAGGCGGAAUAAGUUAAGUAGCGGUGAAAUGCAUAGAUAUAACUUAGAACUCCGAUAGCGAAGGCAGCUUACCAGACUGUAACUGACGCUGAUGCACGAGAGCGUGGGUAGCGAACAGGAUUAGAUACCCUGGUAGUCCACGCCGUAAACGAUGCUCACUGGUUCUGUGCGAUAUAUUGUACGGGAUUAAGCGAAAGUAUUAAGUGAGCCACCUGGGGAGUACGUCGGCAACGAUGAAACUCAAAGGAAUUGACGGGGGCCCGCACAAGCGGAGGAACAUGUGGUUUAAUUCGAUGAUACGCGAGGAACCUUACCUGGGUUUAAAUGGGAAAUGUCGUAUUUGGAAACAGAUAUUCUCUUCGGAGCGUUUUUCAAGGUGCUGCAUGGUUGUCGUCAGCUCGUGCCGUGAGGUGUCGGGUUAAGUCCCAUAACGAGCGCAACCCUUACCGUUAGUUGCUAGCAUGUAAUGAUGAGCACUCUAACGGGACUGCCACCGUAAGGUGAGAGGAAGGCGGGGAUGACGUCAAAUCAGCACGGCCCUUACACCCAGGGCUACACACGUGUUACAAUGGCCGGUACAGAGGGCCGCUACCAGGUGACUGGAUGCCAAUCUCAAAAGCCGGUCGUAGUUCGGAUUGGAGUCUGUAACCCGACUCCAUGAAGUUGGAUUCGCUAGUAAUCGCGCAUCAGCCAUGGCGCGGUGAAUACGUUCCCGGGCCUUGUACACACCGC
This 1055-nucleotide ribosomal RNA is filed under the name uncultured bacterium. RNAcentral describes it as "bacterial SSU rRNA". It matches the Rfam family "Bacterial small subunit ribosomal RNA", at positions 336 to 1393 of the family's 1533-position model. The record is from RNAcentral.